RNAcentral lists this ribosomal RNA (292 nucleotides) under uncultured bacterium. RNAcentral's name for it is "partial 16S ribosomal RNA". RNAcentral also lists the same sequence under 2 other names. The record is from RNAcentral.
GGACUACUGGGGUAUCUAAUCCCGUUUGCUCCCCUGGCUUUCGCGCCUCAGCGUCAGUAAGGGUCCAGUGCGCCGCUUUCGCCGCCGGCGUUCCUUCUGAUAUCAACGCAUUUCACCGCUCCACCAGAAGUUCCGCGCACCCCUACCCCCCUCGAGCCGACUGGUAUCGGAGGCCCUUCCGCCGUUGAGCGGCGGGAUUUCACCCCCGACCUUGCCGGCCGCCUACGCGCCCUUUAAGCCCAGUGAUUCCGAACAACGUUCGCACGGUUCGUCUUACCGCGGCGGCUGGCAC